This 253-nucleotide ribosomal RNA is filed under the name uncultured bacterium. RNAcentral's name for it is "partial 16S ribosomal RNA". It matches the Rfam family "Bacterial small subunit ribosomal RNA", at positions 524 to 776 of the family's 1533-position model. The record is from RNAcentral.
UACGAGAGGCGCAAACGUUAUUCGGAUUUACUGGGCGUAAAGAGCGUGUAGGCGGCCAAGCAGGUCCGUUGUGAAAACUGGAGGCUUAACCUCCAGACGUCGACGGAAACCGCGUGGCUAGAGUCCGGAAGAGGAGAGUGGAAUUCCUGGUGUAGCGGUGAAAUGCGCAGAUAUCAGGAAGAACACCAAUGGCGAAGGCAGCUCUCUGGGACGGUACUGACGCUGAGACGCGAAAGCGUGGGGAGCGAACAGG